Molecule: long non-coding RNA, 3088 nt
Filed under: Ficedula albicollis (Collared flycatcher)
Lineage: Eukaryota; Metazoa; Chordata; Aves; Passeriformes; Muscicapidae
Description: lncRNA (ENSFALG00000025448.1)
Source: RNAcentral
CCCCCCCCCCCCCCCCCCCCCCCCCCCCCCCCCCCCCCCCCCCCCCCCCCCCCCCCGGCCACGGCCGCACUCUCCCUCAGCGCCGCGCCGCCCUCACCAGUCCGCCACACCCGCCAUGAGCUCCUCGCUGCCCCUGAAGGGUGGGACAGGCACACGGGCUGAGGGGAAGCCAAGUCCCACAGGUCACCCAAUGCACCCGGGGAACCUCCAUGGCUCCAGGCAGCUCUCCAAUGGUGCCUUCAAGCCACAUCUACCCGCAGCACGCCCGAGCCAGAAGCCACUACAAGCAGAACCAGUCUUCCUGAGAGAAGCACAAGUGUAAAGAGCCACCAGCAUGAUGAGCUUCCCAAGGUGGCACCAAAAGCCCCUGCAAGCCUUGCUCAUAUUUCCCCUGCUCCCUAACAUCACUGCAGGAAAAAAUCCUAUCAAUGAGACGUGGGUAUGAGCUUGGAAAUCUGUAGAAUGGACCAAAUAAACAGCAGAUCUAAACUCCUGUUUCCCAAACUUCUAGCACUUGACCUUGGAACAUUUUAACAGUUAAAAAUGAAAUCUCAUUUGUCUUAAGAGGAAAAGACCUGCCAGCUUCUCUGCACCUCCUUUGGAACUGCUGAUCUGCAAGCAUUUCAAGAUCACAGAUAGGAUCUCUUGUCAAACUGGUGAAUAAUAUUCCCCCAAAGCUUUCAUCAUGCUCAUUUUCCUAAGGCAUUUACAGGGUAAGAUAGCAGAGAGCACAGUCACGACUGCUGUUUCAGACACAGAUACCAAGAAAGGCUUAGCACUAACGGGAAAUGCAGAUGCCCUGUGACACGUGUGGGAUGAUGGCAAUGAACCAGGACCUGGCCACAGGAUGCCAGUCUCCAGAUGUUCAGCCUGAGCCAAUGGGGAUGAUGGCAAUGAACCAGGACCUGGCCACAGCAUGCCAGUCUCCAGAUGUUCAGCCUGUGCCAAGCCAUUCACAGAAACAAGUGCUGAUGUAGGUAAAAUAAAGGCAUUUACUUCUAAAGCAGGAGAUGGAUCCAGUGCUGCUAAGAUAAAAGCAAGGCCGUGAACCCCAAGGGUAGCACAUCACUAGUUGCUACAGAAAGUACCACUUAGCUGAUGGAUAUUUAUUUUAACAGCGUGACUUAAUGAAAAGAUAUGUUUUAGAGAUCUUAAAAUUGUAUGUCAUAGAUCUCUCUCAGUAAUUUAAUAGAAAGAGAUAACUAUGUAUCCAUCUCAACAUUUAUUUAUCCUUAAGCGUCACUUCUUCCUGCUUUUCUCUGCAAGUACAGGGUAAAAUGUAGCAGCAGUCAAAAAUCAAUACCAUCUCCUGAGGAAACAGCACUGCUCCACGCUAGGUGCUACUGAAGUAGGUUAAGAAAGUGCCCACAGUUAUCUUCUACAGAAAGUCCAACUGAUACAAGCCUAAGCCUCCAUCAGAUCUCUGUGGAUGUACCAACAAAUGCCCUAGCCACUUCUGUGGGGCUCUGCAGAGAGACAUGAACUUCCAUACACAGCAGGAAAGUAAGAUCGUGGUUCCGUCUCUAAUAGAAAGAGAUAACUAUGUAUCCAUCUCAACAUUUAUUUAUCCUUAAACAUCACUUCUUCCUGCUUUUCUCUGCAAGUACAGGGUAAAAUGUAGCAGCAGUCAAAAAUCAAUACCAUCUCCUGAGGAAACAGCACUGCUCCACGCUAGGUGCUACUGAAGUAGGUUAAGAAAGUGCCCACAGUUAUCUUCUACAGAAAGUCCAACUGAUACAAGCCUAAGCCUCCAUCAGAUCUCUGUGGAUGUACCAACAAAUGCCCUAGCCACUUCUGUGGGGCUCUGCAGAGAGACAUGAACUUCCACACACAGCAGGAAAGUAAGAUCAUGGUUCCGUCUCUUGUGUGCUUUUUAAAUUAUUUUUUUCUUGUUCCCUGCCCUUUUUCUAUCCCCAUUACUGGUAAACAAAACACACUCUUUUGUGUAUAUAUGGUUCCACUCUUUUUUUCUUAUAUAUAUACACUCUUUGAUUUAUAAGUUAAGAAACAACACUACAAAUUAAAUGCAUUUACAUGUGAUCUGAAAAGUAAUAAAAAAAAAAUCUAUAGAAUAACUGAAUUUUAAGAAUCUAAAGCAUUGUGCAAGUAAGACUUAAGAAAAAAAAAUGGAAGAACUCAGGAACACAAAAUGGAUUUUAACUGCUGACACUGAUUAUAAGAAUAGACAUGCUUAUCUCCACAUGGCUUAUGUAAACAAAAAGACCUGGUUGGUGACUUGAUUAAACACCAGUUCAAAUUAUGCUUUCUAAAAACAAAGAAGCUUAAUACACCUUGGAUCCCAAACCUGACCAUAACUGCGUCACGACUGCAAAAGGAGUAAUCAGAAAUAAUUGAUAGGUUUAUUUAUUAGAUUUGAUUUGCUGGACCUGAGUUUUCAACAGUUCCUUGUUAUUUCUCUAUCGUGAGUUUGAAAGUUACCAGAAAAAUUACUAAAGAGGAGGAUUUUACCAGUAGCCUGGGGCAGUAUGUUCAGUGGCAGAAAAGCUGAUAAACUUGCCGUCUGGAGUAGGGAAGGAGGAGAAAUGGACCAAAAAAUUGAGAAAAGGAAGCUGUAGAUUAAAUAACAAGAUGCUAGAAAAUACAUGCUAAGAAAACAACAUCAAAUGCUAGUAAGAAACUUUCCGUUUUGACUUUGGCACUUCUUCCCUAUGCCUCUCUGUGUGCCCCACAGGGGUGAGCUCCCUUGGCAGCCUCUUUUCACGGCAUUAGAGGCUCAAACUUCAAGCAAACGAUAUGUAAUAAGAACUUGCAGCUAAUUAAUAGAUUUUAGCUAAUCCUUCAAAACAUAUCACUUCGGAUUUUAAGAACUGAUCGCUUGCGGGAGCCAAACCUGAUAUUAAAGGGUUGCAGGAUUCGGCACGUCACGGUCGGUGGGACCGAGUCCAUCUGGGGCAGCAGGGAUACACAAACCACAGCAGCAAAGCACAACCUUUACCCUCCUAUUCCCGGGGCUGGCAAGCCUCAUCUCUAAAUUUAGAGCUCAAACCUGCACCGAAGGUGCCUGGACCGGUAUGUGUCCGCUGAAGUACGGAACCCAAAGCAUUUCCAAAGCAGUUUCAGUACGCAG